UACGUAGGUGGCAAGCGUUGUCCGGAUUUACUGGGCGUAAAGAGCGCGCAGGCGGUCGUUCAAGUCGAGUGUGAAAGCCCCCGGCUCAACUGGGGAGGGGCACUCGAUACUGAUCGACUCGAAGGCAGAAGAGGGAAGCGGAAUUCCCGGUGUAGUGGUGAAAUGCGUAGAUAUCGGGAGGAACACCAGUGGCGAAGGCGGCUUUCUGGUCUGCACUUGACGCUGAGGCGCGAAAGCUAGGGUAUCAAACGGG
RNAcentral lists this ribosomal RNA (253 nucleotides) under uncultured bacterium. RNAcentral's name for it is "partial 16S ribosomal RNA". It matches the Rfam family "Bacterial small subunit ribosomal RNA", at positions 524 to 776 of the family's 1533-position model. The record is from RNAcentral.